CGGGGCAGCUCAGUACAAGACG
Molecule: microRNA, 22 nt
Filed under: Cricetulus griseus (Chinese hamster)
Lineage: Eukaryota; Metazoa; Chordata; Mammalia; Rodentia; Cricetidae
Description: cgr-miR-486-3p
Gene: cgr-miR-486-3p
Source: miRBase by way of RNAcentral